This 395-nucleotide ribosomal RNA is filed under the name uncultured bacterium. RNAcentral's name for it is "partial 16S ribosomal RNA". It matches the Rfam family "Bacterial small subunit ribosomal RNA", at positions 338 to 730 of the family's 1533-position model. The record is from RNAcentral.
CCUACGGGAGGCAGCAGUGAGGAAUAUUGGUCAAUGGGCGCGAGCCUGAACCAGCCAAGUAGCGUGAAGGAUGACUGCCCUACGGGUUGUAAACUUCUUUUAUCAAGGAAUAAAGUGAGCCACGUGUGCCUUUUUGUAUGUACUUUAUGAAUAAGCAUCGGCUAACUCCGUGCCAGCAGCCGCGGUAAUACGGAGGAUCCGAGCGUUAUCCGGAUUUAUUGGGUUUAAAGGGAGCGUAGAUGGGUUGUUAAGUCAGUGGUGAAAUUUAGCGGCUCAACCGUAAAAUUGCAAGUGAUACUGGCUGUCUUGAGUACAGUAGAGGUAGGCGGAAUGCGUGGUGUAGCGGUGAAAUGCAUAGAUAUCACGAAGAACUCCGAUUGCGAAGGCAGCCUACU